GCCGUGAUCGCAUAACCCGGUAUUGCGCAACCCUGGAAAGGUUGUUUCCGCAAGGAUGUCCCGGUUCAAAUCCGGGUCACGGCG
Molecule: transfer RNA, 84 nt
Filed under: Candidatus Woesearchaeota archaeon
Lineage: Archaea; Nanobdellati; Candidatus Woesearchaeota
Description: tRNA-Ser
Rfam family: tRNA
About the family: Transfer RNA (tRNA) molecules are approximately 80 nucleotides in length. Their secondary structure includes four short double-helical elements and three loops (D, anti-codon, and T loops). Further hydrogen bonds mediate the characteristic L-shaped molecular structure. tRNAs have two regions of fundamental functional importance: the anti-codon, which is responsible for specific mRNA codon recognition, and the 3' end, to which the tRNAs corresponding amino acid is attached (by aminoacyl-tRNA synthetases). tRNAs cope with the degeneracy of the genetic code in two manners: having more than one tRNA (with a specific anti-codon) for a particular amino acid; and 'wobble' base-pairing, i.e. permitting non-standard base-pairing at the 3rd anti-codon position.
Source: RNAcentral